CUGGCUCUCUUCAGCUCCUGUGUCCCAUUGGUCAGAGUUUACACGUGGAGAGGUAACUAACCCCACAGUUCCAGGUUUCAGCACCCCGCUUUCUCAGCAGCCACCCUGAAGCCCUGUGGUGUGACUUGCCAUCCAAGUCCGGAAGCAGCAAGAGAACCCAGAGCUCAGGGUGUACCGGCCCGUGCAGAGACGGACAUGGGCGAAGAGCCAGGCGUCCUUAGGCAAGCAGAGCUCAGCAGGCCUAUGGGAAACAGUCAGCCACAGAGGACGCAGCCGAGGCGGAACCAGCUGAGGGUCCGUGUGGUGAUGGCAUCAAGGGAAUCUGAGGAGAUGCCUGAAGUGUUUCUGCUGUAAGAUGCAUUUGAAUUCUGUAAUAUGUUCAAAUUUCUCAAGCCUUGUGUGUUUUACUGGAACCUUAGCCUCAGCCAUUAUUUCCUUACCCUGGAAACUCUUUAUUGUUUAGAUAAUGCACGUUUAACUUUAGCAAUAGAAUUCUUGAAUUUUCUUCAUUCUGUUUUUUUUUUUUCCCCUAGAAGAAAUCUCUUCAUGAUUUUGCCUGUUGUAUAUUCAGGAUGGAGUGGUUCUUGUUCAUUGUAAUGCAGGAGUUUCCAGGGCUGCUGCAAUUGUAAUAGGCUUCCUAAUGAAUUCUGAAGAGAUCUCAUUUACCAGUGCUUUUUCUUUGGUGAAAAAUGCAAGGCCUUCCAUAUGUCCCAAUGCUGGCUUUCUGGAGCAGCUUCGUACAUAUCAAGGGGGCAAAGAAAGCAAUAAAUGUGACAAACCACAGGAAUUAGAAGAAGCAACAGUUCCUGAAUUACAUUCCAGCCAAUGAUGGACAACUGUAAUUUCUGAGUUGGUCUCUAGAGCCACUUUCCCUCCUCUUUUGGAGAGUAAACUAGUAGAAACCUCCUUUUCUCAUGCUUUUUUUUUUCAAGUGGAAAUAGAGGUCAAUUGAUCGUCCUAAACUAGGGUAUAAAUAAAUUUUUAAAUUAUAUCAUGUUUUCUUUAGUAUUAUAAUGUGGGAUUAAAUGCUUCUUUGAUUUGCUAAAGGAAAAUAACAAUGUAUUACCAAUAAUUGAUUUCUGUGGAAAGCAAAGGUUUACACAUUUCAAAUCUUCAUUAAAGCAUGAAAGAUUAAAUUAGUUGAUUAAAACUUCUGGUAGUUUUCUAUGCCAACAACUAUUUCCAUGAAGGAAAAAACAUGAAGUACUAUGAAGAAGGCAAAUUUCUUUGUAAGGAAUUUAAGGUUAAAAACAAUACCUUAAACCUCCCCAAAAAGGUAACCAAAAUCUGAAGGUUUACACAAUACUUACGUAGUAGUUACAUUAUUCACAAAAUUUUUAUGUCCUUUUAUGAAAAUGCAGCCACUUUUCAUUUUGCUUUUUAAAUUGUAUUCCGUGUUUAUUUUUAAACAUUUUUGUAUAGCUGUGCUCUCUUACAUUAUUGUGAGCGUAUGGUUCUUUAAUUAGGUGCUAGUCUCUUACAUUGUGUACUUUUUAUUCUGGGUUCCUAGCAUUCUGUUUUUGGAUUCCAUGUCAUAAUUUUCUGAUCUCCUUGAAUCUGUAGGAAAGUGUUUCAAACUGAAGAGUCAUUUUAAAAAUGUGGUCUGUUUUCUAGUUUGGUAUUCUACUAGGGAACAUAUUUUUAAGGAAAGAACACUUAUGGUUUUGUAAGAAAUUUUGAAUACAUUUUUUAGAAAGCCCAAAAUCAUUUACAAUUUUAUUUCUGGCCAGAGGCUUUGAAUGGUUUUUUUUUUUUUUUUUUUUUUUAAGUCUCCAUGUUGGCAAGGCUAAACUCUGUUUGUUAUGAAUUUGCUUAAAGAUAUGCUUUGAAUUAUUAAGAAUAAAAUGCACUUAAAAUUAAUUUUAAUAAUUAAGAUAGAAUUAAAGGCUUUCAAGUAGACUUGCAUGACUUUGAAAAUAUCAUUGCCCUGUAGAUUUUAGUAAGAAAAUCCUGAGCUCUUCUUAGAUACACAUUAUAGAGAGAAGCAUUUUUCUAUAAGUAAGUUGGAAAGUGCACAUUGAGCACAUCUGUGCAUUUGAAAAAGCAGGCUUUCUUAUGCUGGCAGGAGCAAAAAUUAGAAGCGAUAAAUGCAAAUUAUGUUUUAAGAUUGCUUAUAGCCUGACAAGAUGUCAUCAUGUGCAAAGCUAUGAACUUUCCAUCUGUUAAGAAGUAGCAUAAGUAUAAUCAACCUACAGUAAGCUGUCUGAAGCCUAACAAGGCAGACAGAAUCCUCUUAAAUAUGAGACUGGUGUAUCAUAUUGUCUUUAUAGUUAAUAUUGCUGAGGAUUUGCUGGGUAAACCUUGUCUGGUCACGUGUAAGUAUUUAUUUAAAUACAUUUUCCUUUGUUAUUGUUAUUUAGUUUUCAGCCAUUAAAUGCUGUGAACAUGAA
Non-coding RNA from Odocoileus virginianus texanus, 2390 nucleotides. The record is from RefSeq and is a predicted model, not a curated record. NCBI's taxonomy places the organism in Eukaryota, Metazoa, Chordata, Mammalia, Artiodactyla, Cervidae.